Molecule: ribosomal RNA, 253 nt
Filed under: uncultured bacterium
Lineage: Bacteria
Description: partial 16S ribosomal RNA
Rfam family: Bacterial small subunit ribosomal RNA
Source: RNAcentral
UCCGGGGGGGGCAAUCGUUGUUCGGAAUUACUGGGCGUAAAGGGCGCGUAGGCGGGUGGACAAGUCUCUCGUGAAAGCCCACGGCUCAACCGUGGAAUUGCGGGAGAUACUGUCUGUCUUGAGUCCGGGAGAGGAGGGUGGAAUUCCCAGUGUAGCGGUGAAAUGCGUAGAUAUUGGGAGGAACACCGGUGGCGAAGGCGGCUCUCUGGACCGGUACUGACGCUGAGGCGCGAAAGCUAGGGGAGAAAACGGG